RNAcentral lists this unclassified non-coding RNA (20 nucleotides) under Mus musculus (house mouse). Its description in RNAcentral is "oocyte_clustered_small_RNA11392". Lineage: Eukaryota; Metazoa; Chordata; Mammalia; Rodentia; Muridae. The record is from RNAcentral.
GACACAGCAGGCUAAGCAGG